RNAcentral lists this ribosomal RNA (497 nucleotides) under uncultured bacterium. Its description in RNAcentral is "partial 16S ribosomal RNA". It matches the Rfam family "Bacterial small subunit ribosomal RNA", at positions 28 to 507 of the family's 1533-position model. The record is from RNAcentral.
GACGAACGCUGGCGGCGUGCCUAAUACAUGCAAGUAGAACGCUGAAGAGAGGAGCUUGCUCUUCUUGGGUGAGUUGCGCACGGGUGAGUAACGCGUAGGUAACCUGCCUGGUAGCGGGGGAUCACUAUUGGACACGAUAGCUAAUACCGCAUAAAAUUGUUCAUCGCAUGAUAAUUAAUUGAAAGAUGCCACUGCAUCACUACCAGGUGGACUUGCGUCGUAUUAGCUAGUUGGUGAGGUAACGGGUCACCAAGGCGAGGUCACGUAGCCGAACUGAGAGGGCGAGCAGCCACACUGAGACGGUGACACGGCCCAGUCGCAUACGGGAGGGAGCAGGAGGGAAACGGGAGCAAGGGGGGGAACCCAGACCGAGCAAGGCCGCAGGAGUGAGGAAGGUUGUCGGGUCGUAAAGGUCGGUUGUAAGGGAGGAACGGGCGUGAGAGUGGAAAGUACACAGUGUGACGGUAACGGACCAGGAAGCGACGGCUAACUACGUG